UCCUACUCCGUAUCGAAUAGGCUGAUCUGAGCACACGUUGGUGUGCUACCCUUAUAUAGCUGAACAUACACUUCAAUUAACCAAGGGAUCCUAUCAUCUAGACCUUUGGAUCAUCGAUCCAUCUAAAACUAAACAAGAUUAGUUAGAAUCGACCUAGAUUGAAUCGCUGGAAGAACUUGCACGCGAAUCAGACUUGCCAGACUUCAGAUCAGACGGAUCAGUACAGGAUUUGCUUUGCAGCAAAGAUACAAUUGUGACAAUAAUUUAUUAGCAGAAACGUGUGAAGCUUUACAAAUUUUAAAAACCAAGGCAAGAAGACACUAUCAGAAAUGAAGGGACAGUAUACGUCAAAAUCAGCAGGCCCACUUGCAAAAGAAGCUAAAGAAGCUAUUAUCAGGAGGAAACAACAACUACAAGAAAAAAGGAGUAAGAGAUGCAGGAAUACACAGGAAACAACCAA
Molecule: long non-coding RNA, 460 nt
Organism: Triticum aestivum (bread wheat)
Lineage: Eukaryota; Viridiplantae; Streptophyta; Magnoliopsida; Poales; Poaceae
Exons: 3
Source: RefSeq, a predicted model, not a curated record